GAGGAGGGGUGUGACAUCGGUGGUCUUGCUUGGCUUUUCUAAAGAAACAAUAUUUAAGCCAAGAAUUUGAAAUAUGUGAAAUCAACCAUGAAAAGAAAAAAAAUAUUUGGGAAAAGGUCGGUUGUUCCAGGUAGAGAAGCGCACAUGGGCACAGACUCUGCGAUCACAAAACUGAUGACCUGGGAGAACCGAAAUGAGACCAGUGCGGCUGGAACUUGGUGGGAGAGCUGAGCACGCCUGGAGGGAGGCAGGGGUCGUGCACUCGGUAUGUCCACUGAGCUGAGUCUCAGGAACUGUCCUAGGAAGGACACAGCCGUGAGCCAAAGGACCCAGUUCCUCAGGUUUUUCUGAUGGAGAUGGAUAGAGGGUGAACAAACAAGACAAAGUGAAUCGUAACUUCGGGGAGUAAUAGUUGCCUCUGAGGAAAUAGAGCAAGUUCUAAAGAGAAAGAGAUGGAGUCUUAAUUAAGAAACGUUAUUUGAGGCAGGCCAUUCUGAGGAGGUUAUAUUUUAAAAGAGACAUAAAUUGAGAGAAUCAUCCAUACAGAAUCUAUGAAAACAGAUUUUAUGACAAAGAAUACAAGAGCAAAGGAAAUAAGGAGCAAUGCUAUUAAUCUUGCCGGCUUCUAAUGGGAGAUUCUGAAACUGAUUCCACAAUAAAGUAUGGACAAUUGUGAACGUCGUGGCUGAUGUGAUCCAGUCUCCCUCCCUGGUUCCCCCGUUGGAUGUAAUCUACCGCCCUGACGGCUCAGACCCUCCGAUUCUCCCAGUUCCCCUGCAGUUUGCCUUCCUUGGCAACGACUCCACUGGAACAACACCAGCUUUACUCCGGGCCCCGGUGCUUGGCAAACUUAAGUUUCCUGCUCUCUGUAGACGGCUUUUCUGAAAUACGACCCUGGCUGAGCUGCAGACUGUGUUUGUGAUCUCGUGAAGAAUUUGCCCUCAGUAAGAGUGGCUACUGGCGAACUGUGCGGCAGCCCCACGGCCCUUCUAGAGUUGGGCGUAUUCCUCCUCAGUUGACGCUGUACCUAUUUCUGGGCCCAGAUCUUCAGGAUGUGUUCUGAUGCCUGCCAUCUAGAGGGCGCGAAGAACAACUUUAUGCCUUUUUUUGGGUGAACUUAAUUCAGAAUUUAUAUGCUGACUGACGGACAAAGCAGAACUCCUUUUUGAGCCUUUAGUGUAUGAGCACCAUGCAGUUUAUGAUAACAUGUACAUCUCUCUGCUUCUCUUCUCCACACUUACCCUUCAGCUCUGUGGUCCACGCGAUCUCAAUGACACUUUUCCACAAGGCUACUAAUAAGGGCUUCUCAGAAAAUAUAAUGGAUGGUUUGUAGUUCUUACUUCACUUGACUUCUCAGGAGUAUUUACCAACAUUGGCCAUUUUCUCUGCUGUGGUCUGAAUGUUUGUGUCCCCCCCCAAAUUCAUAUGUUUAAAGCCUAAUGCCCAACAGGAUGAUAUUAGAAGGUGGGGGUCUUCAGAGGUGAUUAGGUCGUGAGGCUGGGGCCCUCGUAAAUGGGAUUAGUGCUCUCAUGAAAGAGACCCCACAGAGCUCCUUAACCCCUUCUGCCUUGUGAGACACAAUGAGAAGUUGCAACCAGAAGGAGAGCCCUCACUCUGUGGUGCUGGCACCCGACCUCAGACCUCCAGUUUCCAGGACUGUGGGAAUAAGCAUCUGCUGUUCUGAGACACUCAGCCUAUGGCGUUUUCCUAUAGCGGGUUGAACAGACUAAGAUGUUCUCUUUAAAAACUUUCUUUUCUUCCUUUUUUGAUAUAUCAGUCUCCUAAUUUUCUUCCUAUUCCUCUGGAAUCUCCUUAAAGGUAUUUUUACCUGUUUCUAUCCCUCGAUUACGUGAAUUCUUCCACUUGAAGUUCUCAUAUGGUCAAAUUUUAUCCAUGCUCUCUGAGCAAUCUCAUCCAGUCCUGCCCCCUAAAUCACCACAGCUUUGCUGAACUCGCCCCUUCUCCCAGACAUUCUCCACAGGAAGUCCAUGUAUCCUGCUGGGUCUGAACAUCACCACUCGAAUCCUUGCAAAGAUCUGUGACUGAUCUUAACGCCUCUUCCCAACACUGCUUUCCUCCAGCGUUUCUCGUCUCAGUAAUGGCAUUACAUCCAGUUGCCCAAACGGGAUGCCUGUGGGUAAUUGUCCUUCUCCUUUACUGUCCUGCUCACCAGUAAAUUCCCAGGUCUUCAAAUUUUAUCUCCUCAAUGCCUGAAACCUACCUCCUUCCCUUUACUUGACUUUCACUCAUGGCUGAACCCAGGUUGCCAGCACAUUUUGCCUGAAUUACUCCCACGGUUUGGUAACUGCUUUUCCUUCUAACCAUAUCUGUGACCGUGUCGCUCUUUCAAAAUCAAUUUGAGACCCUUUGGGUUUCCUCGUAACCUCAGGAUACAGUUCUUCAUCGGGGACACAAAGGACCUUCCUGCACACCUUUCCAGGUUCUACUUAGCACUCAUUGCUCCCUGUGCAACCAGGUGUCUUACACACACACACACAGGCGCACACAUGCACAUACACACACACGCACACACGGGCCGCUCUCCCUCCUGCUCACUGGCUGGUUAGCUUCCACUGAUCUUUCACAUGUUGACUUGCAUGUGAAUUCCCUGGAGAAAACAUUCUUUGAUUCAUUGAGGCCCCUCCCACGUGCCAAGGAAGUGUUCUGGAAUGCUUCCUUCCGGGGAACUUACUUCAACAACUGUGCUUGCUUUAAACAAUCUCCCAACAGAUGGUCAGCUCAGUGAGGGCGGGCACAUAUCUCACUUCUUCACGCUCCUGUUUCUGGUUUCCAGCUCAGUUACAGACACUGAAUACUUAACAAAGCUACUUUUUUUUAAGCAAAUUGAGGAAUUGAUAUACUUUCCCAAAUAAUUAAGAUUUACACAAAAGCCCAUAAAAGUCUUCACUUCUUACUGAGGAAAGAAAAGCCACAGUCUUCAAAUUACAUUAUCCUACAAGAAUCUACACGAUCUAGUCCUCCCAUUGUUUGCCUUUUGCUUUUUGUGAGUUAUUUCCCUAGAUUUGUUUCCUUUGCUCGUUCCCAGAGCAGCCUCCUGGCCUUUCUCACGUGCACCAGUCACUUCCUUUAAGGUGGUCUUAUCUGUGGCUGUUCCCUCCGACUGGAAUGCUGUUCCCUUUGACAGCCACCUAACGUUCUCCCUCAGCUGCUUAAGACCUCUGUCUGUAUCUCAGCUUCUCAACAAGGUGUCUCCUGGCCCACUAUUUAAAAUCGCAACUCAUACUCCCCAAAACCCGGCAGAAAUGUGUGUAGUGUCUCUGAUUUAUUUUCCUCACUAGCAAUUAUCAACCUCUAAUUUACCAUAUUUUGCUGUGUGUUUGGUUUAUUUUAUAAACUCUCCCGCCUCCUUUAGAAUGUAAGCUGUCUGUGGGCAGUGGGAUUUUUCUCUGUUUAUUCACUGCUAUGUCCCUGGUGUCUGAACACGCUUGCCCUCAUUGAAUAAAUGAGUAAAUUAAUAAUAAAUAAAUAUCUAAUAACAUAAGUAACAAGUUGGUAAGGCUUUGAAUAAGUACUGACAGGGUAGUUUUAGCCUGUACAUAGAUAUGUCCUUUAAUACUUUUAAAAAUAUUCUCUUUUAAACACGAUUUGUGCUGUUUCGGGAAACAUUGUCACAGGCC
This is a long non-coding RNA of Equus caballus (horse), 3638 nucleotides long. The record is from Ensembl. Lineage: Eukaryota; Metazoa; Chordata; Mammalia; Perissodactyla; Equidae.